GCGAGGCCGAAAGGCGUAGUCGAUGGGAAACAGGUUAAUAUUCCUGUACUUGGUGUUACUGCGAAGGGGGGACGGAGAAGGCUAUGUUAGCCGGGCGACGGUUGUCCCGGUUUAAGCAUGUAGGCUGAUUGUCCAGGCAAAUCCGGAUAAUCAAGGCUGAGGUGUGAUGACGAGGCACUACGGUGCUGAAGUAACAAAUGCCCUGCUUCCAGGAAAAGCCUCUAAGCAUCAGGUAACAUCAAAUCGUACCCCAAACCGACACAGGUGGUCAGGUAGAGAAUACCAAGGCGCUUGAGAGAACUCGGGUGAAGGAACUAGGCAAAAUGGUGCCGUAACUUCGGGAGAAGGCACGCUGGUGUGUAGGUGA
RNAcentral lists this ribosomal RNA (367 nucleotides) under Klebsiella pneumoniae. RNAcentral's name for it is "bacterial LSU rRNA". It matches the Rfam family "Bacterial large subunit ribosomal RNA", at positions 1396 to 1765 of the family's 2925-position model. RNAcentral also lists the same sequence under 1 other name. The record is from RNAcentral. Lineage: Bacteria; Pseudomonadati; Pseudomonadota; Gammaproteobacteria; Enterobacterales; Enterobacteriaceae.